AUUGAACGCUGGCGGCAGGCCUAACACAUGCAAGUCGAGCGAGCGGCGGACGGGUGAGUAAUGUAUGGGGACUGCCCGAUAGAGGGGGAUAACUACUGGAAACGGUAGCUAAUACCGCAUACUAUCGGAUAACCCAUAUGGGAUUAGCUAGUAGGUGAGGUAAUGGCUCACCUAGGCAACGAUCCGUAGGUGGUUUGAGAGGACGACCAGCCCCAACGGGACUUGGACACGGCCCAGGCCCUUAGGGGGGGAGCCAUGGGGAAUUUUGGACAAUGGGGGAAACCCUGAUCCAGCCAUCCCGCGUGUAUGAUGAAGGCCUUCGGGUUGUAAAGUACUUUUGGCAGAGAAGCGGUAUCUGCAGAAUAAGCACCGGCUAACUACGUGCCAGCAGCCGCGGUAAUAC
RNAcentral lists this ribosomal RNA (403 nucleotides) under uncultured bacterium. RNAcentral describes it as "partial 16S ribosomal RNA". It matches the Rfam family "Bacterial small subunit ribosomal RNA", at positions 30 to 526 of the family's 1533-position model. The record is from RNAcentral.